CGAAGCCACAAAAACCCUAACACUAUAUCCCUUCAUCGUAAACCCUACACUUUCUCCUUUUACCUCUCACUCUUCUCCGCAGCUUCACAACCCCUUCAAAUCACUGAAAAUGCCGUUCAAGAGGUUCGUUGAAAUCGGAAGAGUUGCGCUCGUUAACUACGGG
This is a non-coding RNA of Nicotiana tabacum (common tobacco), 163 nucleotides long. NCBI's taxonomy places the organism in Eukaryota, Viridiplantae, Streptophyta, Magnoliopsida, Solanales, Solanaceae. The record is from RefSeq and is a predicted model, not a curated record.